UCUUUUGUCAGCUUUUGGAUUCAAAAUGGUUGCAUUGCUGAGCCAAUAGCAAACAAGGGAGC
This 62-nucleotide microRNA precursor is filed under the name Xenopus laevis (African clawed frog). Its description in RNAcentral is "Xla-Novel-12_pre stem-loop". The record is from RNAcentral. Lineage: Eukaryota; Metazoa; Chordata; Amphibia; Anura; Pipidae.